RNAcentral lists this unclassified non-coding RNA (271 nucleotides) under Glomus sp. RNAcentral describes it as "partial contains 5.8S ribosomal RNA and internal transcribed spacer 2". The stretch from base 1 to 71 matches the Rfam family "5.8S ribosomal RNA", at positions 84 to 154 of the family's 154-position model. Lineage: Eukaryota; Fungi; Glomeromycota; Glomeromycetes; Glomerales; Glomeraceae. The record is from RNAcentral.
GUGAAUCAUCAAAUUUUUGAACGCAAAUUGCACUCUCUGGUAUUCCGGCGGGUAUGCCUGUUUGAGGGUCAGUUUAAAUAAAAAGCGGUGUUUUUGCUUCCUUUCGUGGUUACGCACCGGAUUUGGAUCGUCUUGCCGUCGGUUAAGUGACCUAAAAGUUUACAUGAUUUUUUUCGAGCGUAUUGAAAUGAUUGUACGUACGUUUUCGAUAUCGAAUACUAGGUGUGUUCAUCCUCAUGAUUCGCGCCUAUAAUUUUUAAUCAAACUUACC